AUGGCGUCCAAGGCCGUUGCUGAGAUAGUCGAUGACAAGCAAUGCAGUAAAAGCGCCGCCGAGUCCUUCGAGGCCGCGCCUUCCAGGAGGCAGUCCGAGGAGCUAAUUGGGGGAGCAAGCAAAUCGGGGCCUGCCUCACCGAGAGCAGUUCCGCCAGGUGAUGUGGCCACGUCCAGUGGAGUGAAAGAACAAGAUAAGGACUGCAGUUCUGUUGAUGGCUCUGUGAAACUGGACGAAGAUGAAGACGCCGAGAAGAGCUCGCUGCGUGGGAGCGUCAAGGAUAGCUCGGUUUCUGCCAAGUUCAGCGACGGAGCAAGCAGCCUGACAAAGGCGAGCGGCAGCACCAAGGUCAGCGGCCACGCUGAUUUGGUCCAGAGCGGGAAGAGCAGCGUUUACAGGGCUAGCGCCGGCAGUGAUGUCAGUGAUGAUAGCACCUGUAGCAGUAUAUGCAGCAGCGCUAGCAAGCCUCACAAGUCCAAUGAUUCAAGGUGGGAGGCGAUUCAGGUGAUCCGAACCAAAGAAGGUUCGCUAGGAUUGAGUCACUUCAGGCUGCUUAAGAGGCUUGGCUGUGGUGACAUUGGCAGUGUUUACUUAUCAGAGCUUAGUGGCACGAAAUGCUACUUUGCUAUGAAGAUCAUGGACAAGGCAUCUCUAGCUGGCCGCAAAAAGCUUCUUAGAGCACAGACUGAAAGGGAGAUAUUGCAGUGCUUAGACCAUCCUUUUCUUCCGACUUUGUACACCCACUUUGAGACUGAUAAAUUCUCAUGCUUGGUGAUGGAGUUUUGCCCUGGAGGAGACCUUCAUACCCUAAGGCAGAAGCAGCCUGGGAAGUAUUUCCCCGAACAAGCUGCCAAGUUUUAUGUAGCAGAAGUGCUUCUUGCUCUAGAAUACCUGCACAUGCUCGGUAUCAUAUAUCGGGACCUCAAGCCAGAGAAUGUUCUUGUGAGAGAAGAUGGCCACAUCAUGCUGUCAGAUUUCGAUUUGUCCCUUCGUUGUGAUGUGAACCCUACACUUCUUAAAUCUUCCAACCCUGGUGUAGAUCCUAACCAAAAGGGCAAUCAAGCUUAUUGUGUACAACCCGUGUGCAUUGAGCCAGCCUGUAUCCAGCCUGCUUGCGUUACGACAACCACAUGCUUCUCUCCUCGCUUUUUCUCCUCCAAGUCCAAGAGGGAGAAGAAGGAAAAGAAGGCAAAGGCAGACAUGGCAACCCAGGUCAGACCGCUCCCUGAGCUUGUUGCAGAGCCCACAGAUGCAAGGUCUAUGUCAUUCGUAGGCACCCAUGAAUACUUGGCACCUGAGAUCAUAAAGGGUGAGGGACAUGGGAGUGCUGUGGACUGGUGGACUUUUGGCAUAUUCUUGUAUGAACUUCUUUUCGGCAAGACUCCAUUCAAAGGUUCAGGGAACAGGGCAACGCUAUUCAAUGUUGUUGGCCAGCCCCUCAGGUUCCCAGAAUCACCUGUUGUGGGUUUUGCUGCAAGGGAUCUCAUAAGGGGGUUGCUGAUCAAGGAGCCGCAGCAUCGAUUGGCGUACAAACGUGGAGCUACAGAAAUAAAGCAGCACCCGUUCUUUGAAGGUGUUAACUGGGCAUUGAUAAGGUGCGCUACUCCUCCAGAUAUCCCCAAGCCAGUUGAAAUCCCUCGGCCAGGAGCCUCGACAAGUCAGAAGGCAACACCGUCAGCCGAGAAAGGUCCAGACAAUUAUCUUGAAUUUGAUUUCUUUUAG
RNAcentral lists this ribosomal RNA (1722 nucleotides) under Triticum aestivum (bread wheat). Its description in RNAcentral is "partial small subunit ribosomal RNA". The record is from RNAcentral. Lineage: Eukaryota; Viridiplantae; Streptophyta; Magnoliopsida; Poales; Poaceae.